CUGACUCGAUGGACGUGAGUCUGAGUGAACUCCGGGAGUUGGUGAUGGACAGGGAGGCCUGGCAUGCUGCAGUUCAUGGAGUCACAAAGAGUUGGACACGACUGAGCAACUGAACUGAAAGAUACAUUUGUACUUAUUCAAUCAAACAUACUCUGUCCCUACUUUCUGAAAUAAAACAGUUCCUAAAUGGUUCAUGACAGUAUGGUGUAGUAGUAUGGAACUCUAUUUUAGAGUGACAUUGAGUUGUUUAUGCAAAUGAAUGUUCUCAGCUUUGCUGUCUCACGGUGCAACAGAAAUAGAUAAAAACAAUAGGUAUAGGGAGACGAGAGAAUGUGAAAACAAUACCAAACAAUGCUAUUGUGAAUUUUUUCUAAAAGUUUGGAUAUGGUUUUGCAAAAGCCAAGGCAAGAUUCAGUGUUGGGUGAAGUCUCCAAAAAGAAAGUUUUCCUCUCAUGUAAGACAAAGGCGUCAUUUCCCCCAAAGGCUGAGGCCCAAUUCUCGUGGUGUCUGUGACAGCCCCUGACCCAACAACUCCAUGCAGAGUAUUUGGGGAAGGUUCAAGAGAGGGUCAAGAGAAUUUAUAUGAGAAAACACUUGCCUCUAAACAAGAUUCUGGGAUGUGAUAAUCCAAAAAUGCAAUUUUCAAAAGUGCCUUCUUUAGACCCAAGGAAUAAUUUUAGAAAAGGGAAAGUCUCAGAGUUAAGGAGCAGAUGUUGACACAGUUGCUUAUAGUAUAUGAUAUGAGAGGCAUUUCUGAGAGAACUUCCUAUUCAGAACAACAAUAUAUUAAUAACUAACUUUGAAUAACUAAUCCCUGGACCCCUCGCUAACACCAGGAACUUUUCAAAGUGUUUGGUAUUAAAAUGGCUUUCGAUUGGUUAAGGUGAAAUUUUUAUCUCUUAACAGUGGAAUACCCUUACCUGAGUAUGGUAGAUACGAUAAUAACUGAGUAACAGAUGGGAAUCCCGUUUUGUACAGAGUGCAUCCUGAAGUACCUAAAUCCACACAGAGUAGCUGCCCCCUCUCCUCGCCCAUGUGAGGUAUUGUAGCACCUCAGUGGACAGCUAGGGUCUCCACCAUUUUCCUUACCUUCCUUAGCCCAAGCUCAGCAGAUAACCUUGCUUUGUAAUUAAAAAAAAAAAAAAAAGUGAAGGCUAUAAGGUGUCCAUUUCUUGAUUUUCCUGGCCUCUUAUCUACAUAAUUACCUCCUCCUGCCUAUUUUCUGAUUGUUUCCUCCACUCACGGAGGAAAGACAUAACAGAUUCUGCAAGAUGCAUCCUUGAAUCUCUAGAUGUCUAGGCAAAAAGUGGAUUCCCAAAAGGGAGGGGAGCAGGUGAUGGUGCUUUGAGGAGAAAAAUGACCUUGAACUUGGGCCCCAUCUCUGCCAGGAGGUGGUGUAGGCUGCUGAUGGCCAGGCAGGGUUUUAGCUGGAUUCAGUUUUCAGUCUUCUUUCCAUCCCUGAUUGGUUGUAGGAUUUGGAGCAAAUUAUUCUCGGCCACCUCUUUUAGCUUCACUUUUCUUCUUCAUGAAUGGGUGUAACGUCUACUUCAUGAGGAGAAUUAAAGAAGAUCAUACAAGUGUGGAGGAAAGAAAAUGUGAUUUUAAAACCUAAUUUCAGAUGCUUCCACAUGAAAGAUCCUCAACAGAGGAAAAUUUAUGCUUUUGAUUAGAAAAGGAUAUUGAUGGGCCAUCUACUUCUGAGAGGCAAAGUCCAGACCCAGCUGGACGGGAGAAAUUGGGAUACCGUAGGUUUAAAAGUAGCUUGCUCUGAGAAAUGAAGCCAUGGGAUUUUCAAAUUUUCUCCCUGGAACCAGAGGGAAAAGCAAUAAGACCAGAGUGCUCUUCCCAACAGGCAUGGUAGAUAAUAAAAUGAAGGUUGCUUUUUCUUUGCUGCUCCAGUUUGUUGUUACCCUUUCCUGUGUCUUUAGUGGAGCUUUGCAGCUUCCUUAGACUUGAAUUAACACUGCUUUAAGGAAUCAAGAGAAGGAUUGAUUGGGACAGGCUGGGGCAUCCUGCAGACGUUGAUAAGGGAUCAAGUGUUGUGUCUAGAGCAGAGACCAGGGACAAGUGGUGAGGAACCACCAGGAAAAUGUAACUUCCUCUCUGGUGAUCCUCAGAAACAUUAAGAAGGGACCUGAACUCUCCUAGUUAUUCAUUUGCAUUUGAUGGUCUUUGUGUCCCUUUGAGCCCAGAAGCCUAGAAGACUUCGGGACAAGUGAAAUAUAUUCACUUUUUACUGCUACCACCUUAAAAUAAGUUACCACCCUUCUAUUCUGAACUGCUGCAAUUGCCUCUUAACUAUAGAAUCUUCCACUGUCCCUUCCAAUCCAUUCUUUACGCAGUUGCCAAAAAAAAAUAUUUUAAGCAUAAAAUGGAUCAAUCUGCCACUCUUCUUAAAUCUUUUCUUUGGCUUCCCAUUUGCCUUGAGUAAAUCUGAACUCCUUUUGACCUGUCAGGCCUGCAUGUUUCCAUGAACAGCCUCAUAUGGUAUCCAGUGGUCCCCUUCACCAAUGUACUCCAGGACCCUCAGGGUCUGUACCGACCCUUCUUUCCUCUGGAGUCCUGCUCCUCCUGGGUUUCAUGCAUCUGGCACAUCACCCUCAGGUCUCUACACUGGUGUUACCUUCUUGGUGCAAUCUUCCCUGGCCACUCCACAUAAACUGGUCCCAGCCUCUCACCGUUGCUAUUAUCUAUUGCAAUACUCUGGUUGUUUCUUUGGCCACCUGAUGUGAAGAACUGACUCAUUUGAAAAGACUGUGAUGCUGGGAAAGAUCAAAGGCAGGAGGAGAAGGGGUUGACAGAGGAUGAGAUGGUUGGAUGGCAUCACCAACUCGAUGGACAUGAGUUUGAGCAAAUUCCAGGAGUUGGUGAUGGACAGGGAAGCCUGGCGAUCUGCAGUGCUUGGAGUCAUAAAGAGUCAGACAUGACUGAGCAACUGAACUGAGGCUGUUUCUUUGUCGUACCUACCCUGUAUUGUGAUUAUCCAUCUUUCUGCCUUCUUAUUUACUGUCUUUAUGAGGGCAAAGGCUUGGCAUACUUCACAAACCCCACCAAUGCAUCUGUACCUGCUUUAGUGCCUGAACCCUAGUAGGCCAUCAAUAAUAUUUGAAGGAUGGGAUGGAUGAACAGUUGUCCAGAGUAACGUCAUCCAAUAGAAAUAUAAUGUGGGCCACAUAUGUAACUUUAAAUUGUUCAGUAGCUACAUAUAAAAAAGAAACAGUAAAAUUAAUUUUAAUAAUGUAUUUUAUUUACCCAGUGUAUCCAAAAUCUUAUCAUUCCAACAUGCAGUCAACAUAAAAAUUGUUAAUGAGAAAUUUUACAAUUUUUUCUAAGUCUUAAAAACGCAUUGUGAAUUUUAUACUUUCAGCACAUCUCAAUUUGAUGUAACCACAUUUCAGGUGUUCAGAAGCCACAUGAGGCUCUUGACUCCUGCACUGGACAGUGAGGUCUAGAGUGUACAGGGCUUGAUAUGUUGUAGCUAUUAGAUAAUAAAAAUAAUGCAAAGCUUCAGAGUAAGAAAGGCUCAGUGCGAGAGCUGCAGAGAAGAGCCGUACCUUCUGACCUGAGGCUUUUUCAUUCACUUGCUAGCACCUGGAACCACAGGGAGACCAAGUGUGCCCUAAUGGAUAAGGCCAUAGGAUGAGGGGCAAGAUGGACAUCUGUACAGAAGGCAGACACCCACAGAGCAUGUGCAGAGAACACCAGAAGGACAGCAGCCUUGUUGCCUGGGUGGGAGAAGAAAAUGGGCAGCAGGCUUUGCCAGAAAGUUCUCUGCCAGCGGAGAAUCUCAGAAUGGAAUCCAUUGAGACAUCAUCAGAGAUCUCGCAGAGAGAUACUGUUCUUGGGGUUUGUUGGUUACAGAGUAUGUAAUGCUGAUCAUUUUUUCUUUUCUUUAUUAUGAAAACUUCCUUUGGCUAAUUUGUGGCCAGCAGGUUUUCAGUUAGGAAUUUGAAACGAGCCAACUAGGCUGUCUACUGAAGACGGUUUUCCAGGUAGGAAAUUGUCUCCUAAAAGUGACUUUUAGAUGAGAGCAUCUCGCUAGAUAAUAUUCACCAUUGCAUCUAUGGCGCAGUACUUGAGAGAAAAAUUCCAUUGUGCGCAUUUAAAACUCAGUUGUCAUACUCUGAGAGUAAUAUGUGUGCAGUACAAGAGGUAAGCUACUCGUAUCCGAAGCAAGAACUGUCUCCCGCCUGCACUUGACUAAUUACAUUUCAUUGGUCAGUACCAGCAUCAUCUCUUGUCACUGAGUUCCUGAAUCAGAAGGACAAAAGGACCAUUAGUGCAGAGUCACUGAGCCCACCUCUGCUCUGACAGAGCAAAUCUGGGGGAUAGAUUCUGAAUCAUUUGCACAAAGUUCCUGAAGGUGUCAUGGGGAUCUGUGAACAAGAGCACGUUUAAGGAUAUUUAAGGGCAAAUUCCACAGUAUAUCUGAGAAUGGUUUUAACAUGUUGACUUCUGAAAAUGAAGACCCACUCUGCACAAGUUUCAAACAGUAUCUGCCAGUAAAAUUUUUUUAGAGACCCAUGGUCUAUCUAUAAAAGAUCCAGUAAUUUUCAUGAGAGGUUUCCAAAGUGGGGUGAGGAAGGUAAGACUUUCCCCAGCACAAAAAAAGCUGCAGUUUGACAAAAGACCAGCUCUCUUUGACAACAAACAUGCUGUGAAAGCACAACUCUUCCUUUCAGACUAUAUUAAUAGAAAAA
Bubalus bubalis (water buffalo) is the source of this 4700-nucleotide long non-coding RNA. RefSeq lists it as uncharacterized. The record is from RefSeq and is a predicted model, not a curated record. The transcript has 2 exons. NCBI's taxonomy places the organism in Eukaryota, Metazoa, Chordata, Mammalia, Artiodactyla, Bovidae.